UUAUGUUAGUUGUAUGUACGCCUGUUUUAUUCUCUCCCAAAAGAAAAUUAUGUGUCCACCAGUCACUCGCCUCAUACAUGUUGACAAGAAGAAGAAUACCAUGUAGUUAGUAGUUUUCUGGUGUUUAGCAACUAUGAUUUUUAGUACCAUGUGUACAGAGGCAUUCGUAAUAUCACAUUCACCCAGAAUGGUAAAAUUCACCAUGUAAAGUUCCAAGUACCGACCGAUAAAGACACAAAUUUACGCUCCUCUAGUCAGUACUUUGCCGAAUCCCGAGCAUUGGCAUUUCCCCCCAAACCUGUAAGGUGAGACGUUAAAACCUUAAUGUUGGGUUGUUCACUAAACCUGACAUUUCUGGUGUUUUUCUUGUUUUCUCAAUUUCCCCCCUUCCGAUUAUUAGAUCUAAACAACACUUGUGUAUUGUGGUUGUUAGAAUUUUUUAUUCCUCACGGAAAGGGAGUUACACAGACAGCAUCAAUGAUGGACAAAAUCCUUGUAAUCAUCCUUGCACUUUGAAUUCUGAUAGUGAAGAAAACUAACGGGGAAAUAUGAGUCUGAGAUGCUUGCUUUCUUUUUGGCCUUGUGAUUUUUGUAUGAAAUUGAAUUUUUUUCAGUCUGUAAAAUUUUUGUUUGUGUUAUCAGGAUCAGUGAUGUUUAAAUACUGCGUAGUAUCUUUUUGAAUAAAUCUCUCCAACGAGGAAUUUUUUUUAGAUGUCGAUUGCCUUCUGAGGUUCUACUUCGUAAAGUAGUUUUCGCUUUUGGUUUGAUUUUCAUGAUUUAUUUAGAGUUUAAUUAAUUUGUGAGUACUCUGUUUGGAGUUUGGCUGAUUUUUGAUCUGUCUAUUGUGUUGUUUCACUUAAUUUGAAUAUGAUGAUAGGUAUUGUCGCCUCAUUGGUGCAACAUGGUGAUUGACUUCCAUUUCUGAUUUAAAUAAUUACAUAUGUUCAUUGUCUAGACUUGAUUAAUUCAAUUUCAUGUUAGACUUGUCAAUUUAUUAUCUACUUGCCCACAUUCUAGAAAGAAACUUAGAAAACCAUGUCGUUCGUUUUUUCGAUUUUAUCAAGAAAAAUUUUAGUACUGACCCAAUACAUUUUUUUUGUUUUCCGACGCCUUAGGGGUUUAAACCUUUAGAUUUGAAUGAAAGAUUGAUACUCAAUAUACAGGUUUUGAGAAAUGAAGGUGCCCCUCAACCAAGUAUUGUCAUAUUCUUAGUUAGCCAACCAUGGUCGCUUUCUAUUAGCACUGGUAAAUUCAGGGAGAGAUAGUAGAAGAUAUUAAGGGUAUGGGUUUCGGUCCUUAGAAAUUUAAGUUCUUAGUGGUCUUCAUGCAUUGACAGCGAUGAAUAAAUCGAUUUGUUGAAACUAAGGUUAGAAGAUUUAAUUCAAAAUUUGUUUAAUACAUGUCCUAUCUAUAUGAAGCUAUCCGAGAAGAAAAUCAUAUAGUCCCUGGCUUGUUGCUAAGUGUCCAUGAAUUGAGGUUUCCCGUUUAUCAAAUAUUAGUCUCCAAGGGUCUGAUUGAGGGACGAAUUUUCUUAGAAACACUGCAUAUGAGUCUUUAUUGGAGAAGCUGUGAUCAAGUAUGAGCAAGAAGCUCCUGGGCAAUUUAAGGAACAGGUGGGAUUAGAAGAGAAAAACUGGAAGUUCCCGAGGAAAUCAUGAAAUAUUGUGAAGGAAUAUUUUAAAUGGGACACAACAGAAGAUUUGGAUACCACUGAGACAAAGUAUCUUUAUUACAAUGUUAGUACAGUGGUGACAACUAAAGCUGAAUAUGAGGAUCUCAAACAACAAGUGGAAAAUUCGCGGGCGCUAUAUUCUCGUCUGGAGGACUAUAACCUUGAUCAUGUCAAAGUCUCUGACCCUUCUGUAUCUUCUUUACGUUGUUUUCUGAGGGACUCGGGCACGGGUGCGAAGACACUGGUGAUGAACCCCGAGGAUCAUGUCAUUGAGGGCCUUCGAAUGAGGUCUGAUGCAAACAAGAAUGACUUCCACGUGCGUAACGCGGCUCCCGUGUUGUUUCAGUCUGCUAGUUUGCAUCACAACUUGUUGAAGAUGACAGAGGAGCGUUGCCUGAACAUGUUUAUGACGGAACAGGAAGAUUGCUUGAAAGAAGUGGACAAGAUGCAGGAGCAGUGGUUUCUGGUAGAUGCAUCAUCUUUAAAUUGUAACCUUUAAUUUAAUCGUCCUAUGCGUCAUCUUUAGCAGUCCUUUGAGAGGUCUUUUCCCUGACCAAGAAUCGUACCUGAAUUGAUGCACCUGAAUUAAUGCUGUAAUGAGAAUGAGCAUCAAUGACGGCAGCUGGAUUGGCAAUGGCUUCCU
Molecule: long non-coding RNA, 2315 nt
Organism: Papaver somniferum (opium poppy)
Lineage: Eukaryota; Viridiplantae; Streptophyta; Magnoliopsida; Ranunculales; Papaveraceae
Exons: 2
Source: RefSeq, a predicted model, not a curated record